AGGUCAAGCGAACAAGGGCGCAGGGCGAAUGCCUUGGCACUGGGAGCCGAUGAAAGACGUGAUAAGCUGCGAUAAGCUUCGGGGAGCUGCAAAUAAGCAUUGAUCCGGAGAUUUCUGAAUGAGGAAACUCACCUGGGUUCAUACUCAGGUACGUUAUACUGAACUUCAAAAUAGGUAUAUCGAGGGAACCGCCUGAACUGAAACAUCUAAGUAGGGCGAGGAAGAGACAUCAAACGAGAUUCCGUAAGUAGUGGCGAGCGAACGCGGAAGAGGGCAAACCGAGAGUAGAAAUACUUUCGGGGUACGGACUGCUUUUAGGACUUAAUCUGUUAACCGAACGGCAUGGGAAGGCCGGUCAGAGAGUGUGAGAACCACGUAGGUGAAAACGGAGAGAGCUGCGCAGAAUCCAGAGUACGGCCAGACACGUGAAACCUGGUCGGAAUAUGGGGGGACCACCCUCCAACCCUAAAUACUACCCAGUGACCGAUAGCGUAUAGUACUGUGAAGGAAAGGUGAAAAGCACCCCGGGAGGGGAGUGAAAAAGAACCUGAAACCCUGUGCCUACAAGCACCUAGAGCGCGUCAAUGCGUGAUAGGGUACUUUUUGUAGAACGGUCCGGCGAGCGAUUGUAUGCAGCAAGGUUAAGGACUUAAGGUCUGGAGCCGAAGCGAAAGCGAGUUUGAAAAGGGCGUUAAGUUGCAUAUAAUGGGCCCGAAACCGGGUGACCUACCCAUGGUCAGGUUGAAGUGGAAGUAAAAUUCCAUGGAGGACCGAACCGACCUCCGUUGAAAAGGCGGCGGAUGAACUGUGGGUAGCGGAGAAAUUCCAAUCGAACCCGGAGAUAGCUGGUUCUCCCCGAAAUAGUUUUAGGACUAGCCUCAAGUUAGAUACCUGGAGGUAAAGCACUGAAUAGCCUAGCGGCCGAGAGGUUAGCGAAGCUUAUCAAACUCAGAAUGCCAGAGUAUUGAUGCUUGGGAGUCAGACAGUGUCAGAUAAAUGUCAUUGUCAAAAGGGAAACAGCCCAGAUCUACAGCUAAGGUCCCAAAGUCAGGUUAAGUGGAAAACGAUGUGAAGAUACGUAGACAACCAGGAUGUUGGCUCAGAAGCAGCCACUCAUUCAAAGAGUGCGUAAUAGCUCACUGGUCGAGCGUCUUUGCGCGGAGAAUUUAACGGGGCUAAACCUGACACCGAAGCUUAGGCAGCAUGUUUACAUGCUGGGUAGGGGAGCGUUGUAUACGCGGUGAAACAGUAGCGCAAGCGGCUGUGGAGUGUAUAGAAGUGAGAAUGCCGGAAUGAGUAGCGCGAAUGCAGUGAGAAUCUGCAUGGCCGAAAGCCUCAGGUUUCUGGAGGAAGGUUCGUCCGCUCCAGGUUAGUCGGGAGCUAAGGUGAGGCCUAACGGCGUAGCCGAUGCACAGACGGUAGAGAUUCCGUCACCACCAAAAGAGUUAAACACAGGGACACAUAUGAAGUCUCGGAGCCGGGUGUUGGUUCCGGUAGCGAUCGAGGGAAGUUAGUACCGAAGUCCGAGAUGGAAGAUGGCGAGAAAAGCUGUGUGAAUUUCUGCGGUGCCCGUACCGCAAACCGACACAGGUAGGUAGGAAGAAGAUUCUAAGGCCAACGGGAGAAGGGUUGUUAAGGAACUCGGCAAAUUGACCCCGUAACUUCGGGAGAAGGGGUGCUGCAGCAAUGCAGCCGCAGAGAAUCGGCCCAAGCAACUGUUUACCAAAAACACAGGUUUGUGCUAAAUCGAAAGAUGACGUAUACGAGCUGACGCCUGCCCGGUGCUGGAAGGUUAAGAGGAGAUGUGCAAGCAUUGAAUCGAAGCCCCAGUGAACGGCGGCCGUAACUAUAACGGUCCUAAGGUAGCGAAAUUCCUUGUCAGGUAAGUUCUGACCCGCAUGAAAGGCGUAAUGAUUUGGGCACUGUCUCAACAGCCCGCCCGGCGAAAUUGUAGUACCGGUGAAGAUGCCGGUUACCCGCGACAAGACGGAAAGACCCCAUGGAGCUUUACUGUAGCCUAAUAUUGGGUUUCGAUGUUGCAUGCACAGGAUAGAUGGGACACUGGGAAGCAGGUGCUUUGGCGCUUGUGGAGUGGCCGUUGGGAUACCAUCCUUGCGAUAUUGGAAUUCUAACCUGCGCCUUUGAAUCAAGGCGGGGGACAUUGUUAGGUGGGCAGUUUGACUGGGGCGGUCGCCUCCUAAAGAGUAACGGAGGCGUUCAAAGGUUCGCUCAGCUUGAACGGAAAUCAAGCAAAAGAGUGCAAACGCAGAAGCGAGCCUAACUGCGAGACUGACGGGUCGAGCAGUAACGAAAGUUGGAGUUAGUGAUCCGGUGGUAUGUGAGUGGAAAUGCCAUCGCUCAACGGAUAAAAGUUACCCUGGGGAUAACAGGCUGAUCUCCCCCAAGAGUCCACAUCGACGGGGAGGUUUGGCACCUCGAUGUCGGCUCAUCGCAUCCUGGGGCUGUAUUCGGUCCCAAGGGUUUGGCUGUUCGCCAAUUAAAGCGGUACGCGAGCUGGGUUCAGAACGUCGUGAGACAGUUCGGUCCCUAUCUGUCGUGGGCGCAGGAUAUUUGAUGGGAGCUGUUCCUAGUACGAGAGGACCGGAGCGGACGUACCUCUGGCGCACCAGUUGUUCUGCCAAGAGCAUAGCUGGGCAACUAUGUACGGAUCGGAUAAACGCUGAAAGCAUCUAAGCGUGAAGCCGACCCAAAGAUAAGAUAUCCCAUUGUUUCAAACAAGUAAGACCCCUUGAAGACUACAAGGUUGAUAGGCACGAUGUGUAAGUGGAGUGAUCCAUUCAGCAAGCGUGUACUAAUAGGUCGAGGGCUUGACCACA
This 2837-nucleotide ribosomal RNA is filed under the name Faecalibacterium sp. BIOML-A2. RNAcentral describes it as "23S ribosomal RNA". It matches the Rfam family "Bacterial large subunit ribosomal RNA". Lineage: Bacteria; Bacillati; Bacillota; Clostridia; Eubacteriales; Oscillospiraceae. The record is from RNAcentral.